ACCCGUAUUGAGAACGUUACUUCAAACUGGAAUGAGUACAUUCUAAAUCCUUUAACGAAUAUCAAUUGUAGGGCAAGUCUGGUGGCAGCAGCCAAGGUAAUUCCAGCUCCAA
RNAcentral lists this ribosomal RNA (112 nucleotides) under Stegodyphus mimosarum. RNAcentral's name for it is "eukaryotic small subunit ribosomal RNA". It matches the Rfam family "Eukaryotic small subunit ribosomal RNA", at positions 479 to 594 of the family's 1831-position model. Lineage: Eukaryota; Metazoa; Arthropoda; Arachnida; Araneae; Eresidae. The record is from RNAcentral.